This 69-nucleotide transfer RNA is filed under the name Dalpada cinctipes. Its description in RNAcentral is "tRNA-Ser". The record is from RNAcentral. RNAcentral also lists the same sequence under 1 other name. Lineage: Eukaryota; Metazoa; Arthropoda; Insecta; Hemiptera; Pentatomidae.
AAGGGAAUAAAGAAAAUAAAAGAAGCUGCUAACUAUCUUUUAAAGCGGUUAAAAUCCGUUUUUCCCUUA